Molecule: ribosomal RNA, 1167 nt
Filed under: Triticum aestivum (bread wheat)
Lineage: Eukaryota; Viridiplantae; Streptophyta; Magnoliopsida; Poales; Poaceae
Description: partial small subunit ribosomal RNA
Source: RNAcentral
AUGCUCCACCUUCAGAUGCACCCUCUCCCGCUGCCCCGCGCCGCCCCCCACCCUACCACGGCCACGCUCUCCUACUCUCUCCACCGCCGCCUCGCUCUCUCCGCCUCCGCCUCCACCACCCCAUUCUCAACCGAGGAGUACCUCGUCGCCACCUGCGGUCUCACCCGAGCCCAGGCGCUCAAGGCGUCCAAGAAGCUCUGCCACCUCAAGUCCGCCUCCAACCCAGACGCCGUGCUCGCCCUCCUCUCCGGCGUCGGCCUCUCCCGCCCGGACAUCGCCGCCGUCGUCGCCGCCGACCCGCUGCUCCUCCGGUCCAGGGUGGACAACGUCGCCCCCCGCCUCUCUGCCCUCCGCGACCGCCUCGGCCUCUCUGCGCCCGAGAUCGCCAGCUUCCUCCUGGUGGGCGCCACGGCCCUCCGCUCCUGCGACAUCACGCCCAAGCUCGAGUUCUGGAUCCCCUUCUUUGGCUCCUUGGGCAAGCUCCUCCAGACCAUGAAGAGGAACAGGUCCAUCCUGACCACCGAUCUGGAGAAGGUCGCCAAGCCCAACAUUGCGCUGCUGGAGCAGUGCGGGCUAAGUGUUUGUGAUAUUGUCAAGCUGUCGACGCCCUGUUCUAGGCUGCUAGUGUUCAACCCAGAGCGGGUGAAGGCGUUUGUGCUGCGCGCCAAGAAGCUUGGCGUGCCCCGCUCCUCGUAUAUAUUCAAGUACGCGGUGGGUGUCGCGUGUUCUAUCACGGAAGACAAGGUCGCCGCAAGGAUGGAGUUCUUGAGGAGCACUCUUGGUUGCUCCAUGGACAAGGUGCGUGUUGCGGUUCGCAACAAGCCACACAUUCUAGGAAUAUCCGAGGAGAAACUCCGUCUCAAGAUAGAGUUCAUGGUCGAUGAGGUUGGUUUGGAUCCAGACUACAUUGUUGAGAGGCCCAUGCUGUUUACCUACAGCCUGGAGAAGCGGAUGAAACCCCGGUAUUAUGUCGCAAAGAUCCUGCAGGCUAAGGGACUGAUGAAGAAAAGUGUCGGCUUCCGGCGAGUAGUUGGCUAUGGUGAGGAUAAUUUCAUUCCAACAUACAUCGACAGUCAUCAGAACAAUGUUCCUGGGCUUGCAAAUGCUUAUGCAGCAGCUUGUGCUGGGGAAAUGCUACUGAUGUCCAGCUUUGAAUGCAGACAUUGA